This 471-nucleotide ribosomal RNA is filed under the name uncultured bacterium. RNAcentral's name for it is "bacterial SSU rRNA". It matches the Rfam family "Bacterial small subunit ribosomal RNA", at positions 355 to 825 of the family's 1533-position model. The record is from RNAcentral.
UCGGGAAUUUUGGGCAAUGGGCGAAAGCCUGAUGACGCAACGCCGCGUGGAGGAUGAAGGUCUUCGGAUUGUAAACUCCUGUUGCUCGGGACGAAAAGCUUCGACCUAACACGUCGAAGUCUGACGGUACCGAGUGAGGAAGCCCCGGCUAACUCUGUGCCAGCAGCCGCGGUAAUACAGAGGGGGCAAGCGUUGUUCGGAAUUACUGGGCGUAAAGGGCGCGUAGGUGGCCUUCUAAGUCGAACGUGAAAUCCCUGGGCUCAACCCAGGAACUGCGUCCGAGACUGGGAGGCUUGAAUCCGGGAGAGGGAUGCGGAAUUCCAGGUGUAGCGGUGAAAUGCGUAGAUAUCUGGAGGAACACCGGUGGCGAAGGCGGCAUCCUGGACCGGUAUUGACACUGAGGCGCGAAAGCCAGGGGAGCAAACGGGAUUAGAUACCCUAGUAGUCCCUGAGCGGGCUGGCAAGGCGCAU